This 455-nucleotide ribosomal RNA is filed under the name uncultured marine bacterium 311. RNAcentral describes it as "bacterial SSU rRNA". It matches the Rfam family "Bacterial small subunit ribosomal RNA", at positions 1074 to 1532 of the family's 1533-position model. The record is from RNAcentral.
GUNGGUNGUCGGCACGAGCGCAACCCCCUAUCCUUAUUUGCCAGCGCAUAAUGGCGGGAACUAUAAGGAGACUGCCGGUCAUAAACCGGAGGACGGCGGGGACGAGGUCAAGUCAUCAUGGCCCUUAUGGGUAGGGCUACACACGUGCUACAAUGGGUGGUACAGAGGGUCGCCAAAGCGUGAGCUGGAGCCAAACCCUUAAAACCAUUCUUAGUCCGGAUUGGAGUCUGCAACUCGACUCCAUGAAGUCGGAAUCGCUAGUAAUCGCGAAUCAGAAUGUCGCGGUGAAUACGUUCUCGGGCCUUGUACACACCGCCCGUCACGUCAUGGAAGUGGGUUGCACCAGAAGUGGUUUGUUUAACCUUCGGGAGAACGGUCACCACGGUGUGAUUCACAACUGGGACGAAGUCGUAACAAGGUAGCCCUAGGGGAACCUGGGGCUGGAUCACCUCCUU